GGUCAAUCCAGAAAAUUUCCGCCGGCGACGAAACUCCGGCGACGUAAUCUCGCCGUUCCAUUUUUUGCAUACUGAAGCUGCUUUAGAAAAUUGAUCCACAGGUAGACGUAUGAGACAUUCAAGAGCUAUUUCAUUAGGUAGCCCCGGGAUGAAGUCCAUGGCUGUAGCUUGCAUUUUUUGUAUUUGAAGUAAUUUUAGUUAUGGUUUUUCCUUUUUCAGAUUUAUGACAUGUGACG
This 236-nucleotide unclassified non-coding RNA is filed under the name Hevea brasiliensis (rubber tree). Lineage: Eukaryota; Viridiplantae; Streptophyta; Magnoliopsida; Malpighiales; Euphorbiaceae. The record is from RNAcentral.